CCUACGGGAGGCAGCAGUAGGGAAUAUUGCACAAUGUUGCGAAAGCCUGAUGCAGCAACGCCGCGUGCGCGAUGAAGGCCUUCGGGUCGUAAAGCGCUUUUCGGGGAGAUGAGGAAGGACAGUAUCCCCGGAAUAAGGCUCGGCUAACUACGUGCCAGCAGCCGCGGUAAAACGUAGGAGCCUAGCGUUAUCCGAAUUUACUGGGCGUAAAGCGCGUGCAGGCGGUUCGGUAAGUUGAGUGUGAAAUCUCCUGGCUCAACUAGGAGAGGUCGCUCAAUACUGUCGAACUAGAGGAUGGUAAAGGGAGGUGGAAUUCCCGGUGUAGUGGUGAAAUGCGUAGAUAUCGGGAGGAAUACCAGUGGCGAAGGCGGCCUCCUGGGCCAUACCUGACGCUCAGACGCGAAAGCUAGGGGAGCAAACGGGAUCAGAAACCCCGGUAGUCCUAGCAGUAAACGAUGUGGACUUGGCGUUGGUGGGGUAAAAUCCAUCAGUGCCGGAGCUAACGCGGUAAGUCCACCGCCUGGGGACUACGGCCGCAAGGUUAAAACUCAAAGGAAUUGACGG
RNAcentral lists this ribosomal RNA (564 nucleotides) under uncultured bacterium. RNAcentral's name for it is "bacterial SSU rRNA". It matches the Rfam family "Bacterial small subunit ribosomal RNA", at positions 338 to 916 of the family's 1533-position model. The record is from RNAcentral.